Molecule: ribosomal RNA, 851 nt
Filed under: Flavoparmelia caperata
Lineage: Eukaryota; Fungi; Ascomycota; Lecanoromycetes; Lecanorales; Parmeliaceae
Also listed under: 1 other name
Description: eukaryotic LSU rRNA
Rfam family: Eukaryotic large subunit ribosomal RNA
Source: RNAcentral
GGGAUUGCCUCAGUAACGGCGAGUGAAGCGGCAACAGCUCAAAUUUGAAAUCUGGCCCCUCUCGGGGUCCGAGUUGUAAUUUGUAGAGAGUGUUUCGGGGGAGACCGCGGUCUAAGUCCAUUGGAACAUGGCGUCAUAGAGGGUGAGAAUCCCGUCUGUGACCGCGGAUCGAGCCCAUGUGAAGCCUCUUCGACGAGUCGAGUUGUUUGGGAAUGCAGCUCAAAAUGGGUGGUAAAUUUCAUCUAAAGCUAAAUAUUGGCUGGAGACCGAUAGCGCACAAGUAGAGUGAUCGAAAGAUGAAAAGCACUUUGGAAAGAGAGUUAAACAGUACGUGAAAUUGUUGAAAGGGAAGCGCUUGCGACCAGACCUGCCCGUGGGCGAUCAGCCGCUGUUCUCAGCGGUGCACUCGUUCCACGAUCAGGCCAGCAUCGGUUUCGGCGGUCGGAUAAAGGCCUUGGGAAUGUAGCUUCCUUUCGGGGGAGUCUUAUAGCCCUUGGUGCAAUGCGGCCAGCCGGGACCGAGGACCGCGCUUCGGCUAGGAUGCUGGCGUAAUGGUCGUAAGCGACCCGUCUUGAAACACGGACCAAGGAGUCUAACAUCUAUGCGAGUGUUUGGGUGUCAAACCCAUGCGCGGAAUGAAAGUGAACGGAGGUGAGAACCCUUAAGGGCGCAUCAUCGACCGAUCCAGAUGUCUUCGGAUGGAUUUGAGUAUGAGCAUAGCUGUUGGGACCCGAAAGAUGGUGAACUAUGCCUGAAUAGGGUGAAGCCAGAGGAAACUCUGGUGGAGGCUCGCAGCGGUUCUGACGUGCAAAUCGAUCGUCAAAUUUGGGUAUAGGGGCGAAAGACUAAUC